CACGUAGGGCGCAAGCGUUGUCCGGAAUUAUUGGGCGUAAAGAGCGUGUAGGCGGCCAGGUAGGUAGGCUGUGAAAACUCGAGGCUUAACCUCGAGCUGUCGGCGGAAACCAUCUGGCUAGAGUCCGGAAGAGGAGAAUGGAAUUCCCGGUGUAGCGGUGAAAUGCGCAGAUAUCGGGAAGAACACCCGUGGCGAAGGCGGUUCUCUGGGACGGUACUGACGCUGAGACGCGAAAGCGUGGGGAGCGAACAGG
Molecule: ribosomal RNA, 253 nt
Filed under: uncultured bacterium
Lineage: Bacteria
Description: partial 16S ribosomal RNA
Rfam family: Bacterial small subunit ribosomal RNA
Source: RNAcentral